GGUUUCCCCAAGGCUGUGUGGCUUUUUGGUUUUGCCUUUCAGUGAGAAACUCUCAAAGAGGCUUCUAUUCUUCUUUAGGGAUGUUUUGUGAAGACCUUGACUGACUAUCAUGUGACUUGAAACAUUGCUGAAAAAAUGGUAGAGGUUUGUCUGCCUGUUCUGGAUGCUUUGGGUUUGAACGUCAGCUUGUGGCAGUGACUGCACACAGUCAGUUUCUGUCUCAAGGCACAACGUGUGCUUAGGGCGAGAUUCAUCAUACGCAACAGUGGAUGUGAAUUCAUAUUUCAAACAGGCUUCUUGAUCUUGUUGAGUUUUUGGGGGCCAAUUCUUCUCAAAUCUUAUUUGUUUGUCUUUGAUUUUGCCUCUGUGUGGCUGGUGAAGAGCUCAUGGGAGGAGCAGGAGAAGGGUCAACAGUGCCAUUUCCUUGCUGGUCGCUUGUGCUGGACUUACCAGGGUUAUCUUCCAUCUGUGGUUUCUUCGCAGGAAUCUCUUUUUAAGACAUGUGAGGGGUAGUGGACUCAGCGGGAGACCUUGUGCUGCUCAUUAGUGCCUCAGGGGUUUACCUGUCACUUUUUCUUUGCUGUGCUGAAGUUAAAAAGCUUAUUGUAGCUCUUUGGAUUUCUGUCAUUAAAGGAAGUCUCUAGGAUUUCUACCCAGGAGUGAGGUGUCCAGAAAGGACUGUCCUUGUAUGCUGCUGUCAGCCUUCAGUUUAGAGAAGUGUCUGGUAGUGGUGUAUUUUAAUGGUAAUGUAACUCAAGUGCAACUUAAAUCUACAACCUUUGUGCUUGUUCCUGAUAUGCCUGGGGGAUGAUUCUCAUCAGGUUGUAAACAGCAUGUUCUGCUGUGCUUUACCUAUUUGAAAUAGUCUGUCACCAGAAAUGUCUUCCUUAUGACCUCCAUAGAACAAGAACCUCCCACCCUGACCCUUGGGCAGCUUCAGGGCGACAGCUAAAUGUCAGUAGUUCAACAAACAAGUCUCAUGGUAGCAGUGUGUGUGUCUAAGACCACCUGAGCCUCCACAUUUAUUCAGUAUGUCACAGCUUUGCGUGGGUAGGGGUGCAUGAAGUCAGUAUGUUGUACGUGUUGUAACUGGCCAGGCAGUUUCUCUAAAGCAACAAGAAAUGACCUCUUAUAGUGGCAUGCCUAUGGAUGUCAAGGUGGGGGGGAUGUCGCCUAUUCCUUCCUUUGGCUGAGCACAGAGGACUGAGAGGUGUUUUCAUCUGAGGGAGGGAAGCCCAUCCAACAGCCAUCAUGAGCCUCCAGGCUUGUGGUCCUUGAUGGAGGCAUAAGUAAGUGCUUAGGACAGUUUUACUGCGGUGGUGUUCGUCCUUUGGCUCCCAGGUUUUCCCAUUAAGGUUUGCUCUCCGCUUUCUUUGCCUUUAGAGUGUUUUGUAAAUGUUCUCCAUCCAAAACCCCGAGGACUGUACUAUGUAUUCCUUUCUCUGAAACCUCAUCAAUAGCUUUGGAGAUGUCCUUGGGAACAGAGGAAAUGGGGACCCUUUAUGGUAGAGAAGAACAUUUAAUAUGAGAAACACUUCCAUGGUGUGAACAGCUGGCUGCUGCAUCCAAGAGGCUUACGAUGCAUCGUUCUUCCAACAUCCUGACACUGUGCUUGAAGAGAUCUGAUCCUUUCUCUGGCAGAAAGAUUAGCAAGGUUGUGCACUAUCCAGAAUACUUGGACCUUGGCACAUACAUGUGUCAAGAAGUUGGAGAACCUCUGCUUUAUUCCCUGUAUGCUGUCCUGGUACACAAAGGUUUCAGCCCUCAGGCAGGACGCUAUUACUGCUUCAUAAAGGUAAAAGUCAAGUUUGUUUCCAGCAGUACAAGUAUCAGUGCUGGUAAUGAGGAAGUGUGAUGCAGGUGCUCCUGGUAAGCACUGUUCUUAGGGAGAAUUCUCAGGGGGUACUUGCUUUGAUUUGUGUUGGUGUGUUGUGUCCUUCAGCAGUGUCCUGUGUUUUUGUUCCUAAACUCUGCAGUUCAUCCAAAGAUGGUGUUGCCUUUCUUUGCAGGCUACUGAUGGACAUUGGUACG
This is a long non-coding RNA of Strigops habroptila (Kakapo), 2031 nucleotides long. RefSeq lists it as uncharacterized. The record is from RefSeq and is a predicted model, not a curated record. NCBI's taxonomy places the organism in Eukaryota, Metazoa, Chordata, Aves, Psittaciformes, Psittacidae. The transcript is spliced from 3 exons.